This 465-nucleotide ribosomal RNA is filed under the name Vreelandella stevensii. RNAcentral describes it as "partial 16S ribosomal RNA". It matches the Rfam family "Bacterial small subunit ribosomal RNA", at positions 338 to 795 of the family's 1533-position model. Lineage: Bacteria; Pseudomonadati; Pseudomonadota; Gammaproteobacteria; Oceanospirillales; Halomonadaceae. The record is from RNAcentral.
CCUACGGGAGGCUUCAGUGGGGAAUAUUGGACAAUGGGGGCAACCCUGAUCCAGCCAUGCCGCGUGUGUGAAGAAGGCCCUCGGGUUGUAAAGCACUUUCAGUGAGGAAGAACGCCUGGUGGUUAAUACCCAUCAGGAAAGACAUCACUCACAGAAGAAGCACCGGCUAACUCCGUGCCAGCAGCCGCGGUAAUACGGAGGGUGCGAGCGUUAAUCGGAAUUACUGGGCGUAAAGCGCGCGUAGGUGGCUUGAUAAGCCGGUUGUGAAAGCCCCGGGCUCAACCUGGGAACGGCAUCCGGAACUGUCAAGCUAGAGUGCAGGAGAGGAAGGUAGAAUUCCCGGUGUAGCGGUGAAAUGCGUAGAGAUCGGGAGGAAUACCAGUGGCGAAGGCGGCCUUCUGGACUGACACUGACACUGAGGUGCGAAAGCGUGGGUAGCAAACAGGAUUAGAUACCCGAGUAGUC